CCUACGGGGGGCAGCAGUGGGGGAUAUUGCACAAUGGGGGAAACCCUGAUGCAGCGACGCCGCGUGGGUGAAGAAGUAUUUCGGUAUGUAAAGCCCUAUCAGCAGGGAAGAAAGAAGACGGUACCUGACUAAGAAGCCCCGGCUAACUACGUGCCAGCAGCCGCGGUAAUACGGAGGAUCCGAGCGUUAUCCGGAUUCAUUGGGUUUAAAGGGUGCGUAGGUUGUUUUAUAAGUUAGCGGUGAAAUACCGAUGCUCAACAUCGGGGCUGCCGCUAAUACUGUAGGACUAGAGAUCGGAUGCAGCAGGCGGAAUGUGUAGUGUAGCGGUGAAAUGCAUAGAUAUUACACAGAACACCGAUUGCGAAGGCAGCUUGCUAGGCCGGAUCUGACACUGAUGCACGAAAGCGUGGGGAUCGAACAGGAUUAGAUACCCCUGUAGUC
Molecule: ribosomal RNA, 441 nt
Filed under: uncultured bacterium
Lineage: Bacteria
Description: partial 16S ribosomal RNA
Rfam family: Bacterial small subunit ribosomal RNA
Source: RNAcentral